Molecule: ribosomal RNA, 253 nt
Filed under: uncultured bacterium
Lineage: Bacteria
Description: partial 16S ribosomal RNA
Rfam family: Bacterial small subunit ribosomal RNA
Source: RNAcentral
UACGGGGGGGGCAAGCGUUGUUCGGAAUUACUGGGCGUAAAGGGCUCGUAGGCGGCCAACUAAGUCGGAUGUGAAAUCCCCAGGCUUAACCUGGGAACUGCAUCCGAUACUGGAUGGCUUGAAUCCGGGAGAGGGAUGCAGAAUUCCAGGUGUAGCGGUGAAAUGCGUAGAUAUCAGGAGGAACACCGGUGGCGAAGGGGGGUCUCUGGGCCGAUACUGACGCUGAGGAGCGAAAGCGUGGGGAGCGAACAGG